CCUACGGGUGGCAGCAGUGGGGAAUAUUGGACAAUGGGCGAAAGCCUGAUCCAGCCAUGCCGCGUGUGUGAAGAAGGCCUUCGGGUUGUAAAGCACUUUCAGUGGGGAAGAAAGCCUUGGGGCUAAUACCCUCGAGGAAGGACAUCACCCACAGAAGAAGCACCGGCUAACUCCGUGCCAGCAGCCGCGGUAAUACGGAGGUUGCGAGCGUUAAUCGGAAUUACUGGGCGUAAAGCGCGCGUAGGCGGUCUGAUAAGCCGGUUGUGAAAGCCCCGGGCUCAACCUGGGAACGGCAUCCGGAACUGGCAGGGUAGAGUGCAGGAGAGGAAGGUAGAAUUCCCGGUGGAGCGGUGAAAUGCGUAGAGAUCGGGAGGAAUACCAGUGGCGAAGGCGGCCUUCUGGACUGACACUGACGCUGAGGUGCGAAAGCGUGGGUAGCAAACAGGAUUAGAUACCCGGGUAGUC
Molecule: ribosomal RNA, 465 nt
Filed under: Vreelandella stevensii
Lineage: Bacteria; Pseudomonadati; Pseudomonadota; Gammaproteobacteria; Oceanospirillales; Halomonadaceae
Description: partial 16S ribosomal RNA
Rfam family: Bacterial small subunit ribosomal RNA
Source: RNAcentral